RNAcentral lists this ribosomal RNA (466 nucleotides) under uncultured bacterium. RNAcentral's name for it is "partial 16S ribosomal RNA". It matches the Rfam family "Bacterial small subunit ribosomal RNA", at positions 28 to 507 of the family's 1533-position model. The record is from RNAcentral.
GAUGAACGCUGGCGGCGUGCUUAACACAUGCAAGUCGAACGAUGAAGCCCAGCUUGCUGGGUGGAUUAGUGGCGAACGGGUGAGUAACACGUGAGUAACCUGCCCUUAACUCUGGGAUAAGCCUGGGAAACUGGGUCUAAUACCGGAUAGGAGCGCCUACCGCAUGGUGGGUGUUGGAAAGAUUUAUCGGUUUUGGAUGGACUCGCGGCCUAUCAGCUUGUUGGUGAGGUAAUGGCUCACCAAGGCGACGACGGGUAGCCGGCCUGAGAGGGUGACCGGCCACACUGGGACUGAGACACGGCACAGACUCCUACGGGAGGCAGCAGUGGGGAAUAUUGCACAAUGGGCGAAAGCCUGAUGCAGCGACGCCGCGUGAGGGAUGACGGCCUUCGGGUUGUAAACCUCUUUCAGUAGGGAAGAAGCGAAAGUGACGGUACCUGCAGAAGAAGCACCGGCUAACUACGUG